RNAcentral lists this long non-coding RNA (3567 nucleotides) under Gallus gallus (chicken). Its description in RNAcentral is "lncRNA (ENSGALG00010003493.1)". Lineage: Eukaryota; Metazoa; Chordata; Aves; Galliformes; Phasianidae. The record is from RNAcentral.
CAUGACUCAGGUGGAGCUGCUUACAUCCCCAGGUUUGAUAAGCAGGAGUAUCCCUCUCUGAACAAAUUCUGCAUUCCAUUCAAUUUUCUGAAGUUGUCAUGAAAAAUACUGCUUCUGUGCACAAAGAAUUCACCUUGAACUCACUGUGUUCUAUCAUAUUUCUCUUGGACCAGCUAUACCGUUAGUCAUUUAUUUACUGAUGGAAGCACCUGGGAAGAGUAAAUAGGAAAUCUGAAUGGGAAAAGCAAUUUAUCAAGGCUUUCUGCAGAGAACUGGCAAAAAAUGUGUCUCUUCAUAGGUCAAAGGAACAGGAAUGACUAGGUAAAAAAUUUAAAAUGGCUUACAGGAUAAACCAAGAUAAAGGCUUAGGAUCCACACGAGAAUGGGAGGAGAAACUGCUAUGAUUAGGGAACAGGAUGGGAAAGGGAUUGCUUUUAGUGUGUACACAAUGUGCCAGGAGCUGACUGGAAGUAAACAAAGAGACUGUAAGUCACCAGACAAACCAGAGCUGGAGCAAAAGGGUGCCUGGGGGAUACUGUGUGUCAUAUUCAGAAAAUAUCAUGGGGUAGGGAAGAACCUACUCAAGAAGCUGACAGAUAGGGCACCAAUAUCUUCUUCUGGGUGACUGCCUUCUGGGACAGAACAUAUUGCUGUUUUCUCCCAGUCAGCUGAGCUAAAGAAGGUGCCAGAACAGCAGCUGUGUAGUAGUGAAGAGCAAGCCACCCAGUCUUCUAUGGAAACACAGUACUCAAUGAAGGGGAAUUCAGUCUUGCUGAAACCGAGCUGGCUGAAAAUCUGCCGUGCAGCACCUAGGCUCCCUCUGGAGGGAGCGGAGCAGCACAAGCGCCUCCAGAUGGCGUCUGAUCCCGGCUCACCUGGCCGAGGAGGGAGAGCGAUUCCUAUUUCACGGGUGUGACAGAUGGCAGCAGAGGGGCAGUCUGACACAACGGCCUCUGAUGUGGAAGUGUGGAUCAAGUAAAGGUGUGUCACUGAAUUCCUUCAUGCAGAAAAAAUUGCACAGGUGUGCCUGCUGAGCAUUGAUGGAGACCAACCAGUGGAUGUGAGCACAGUUAGGCAGUGGGUGGUAGGCAUUUCAGCAGUGGAGACAGCGGGUUACUUCCACUGGUGCAGACUGUUAUGUGUGGCUCUUUUUCAUCACUGUUGAAAAUGCAACGCUCAUGGUGGUCACAGCUGAAAAAUCGUGUUUUGUAUUUAAGAAUUUGCUCUAUCAAACUGUGUUAUUGUGCCCUUUGUAUCCACUGUAGUUUCCGUGGAAAUAAAUAGAAGGCAUUAUGUGUGGAGCAACCUACAUACAUUCUGCUGGAUCUGGAAGUCCAAGAGAGGCAAGGCCUCUGCAACGCUGCACGCCUAGGUGCCUCCAGUAGUGAGCCUGAAAAUGUAUGUCCAGGAGGUACCUGCACACAGAGCACAUAGAUAUAUAUAUACCAGAUGCAUACACAUGCAUACAUCCAACUGGCCUCAUGAAUCCCGAACCAUCAAAUGAACAGAGCACCAAUGGCCUCACCUUUUCCCCUUCCUGGUGGAGUGAGUCCUUCACUGGGAGUGUAUAUCCUGUAUAUGAGAUGGAUCCAUUCAGCAGCUGGUCUUGUGCUCCCCAGCUUAUGGCACUUGGACACAUGAAGGCUCCGGGGAGACGUUAUAGUGGCAUUUGCAGUGCUUACAGAGCACCUACAGGAGAGAUGAAGAGGGGAUUCUUCAUCAAGGGUUGCAGUGACAGGACAAGGGCUAAUGGUUUUCAGCUAAAUGAGGAUAGGUUAAAGUUAGAUAUAAGAAAUAAAUUCUUCAUAAUGAGGGUGAUGAGGUCCUGGCAUAGGAUCCCCAGAGAAGCUGUGGAUGUCCCAUCUCUUGAAGUGCUCAAGGCCAGCUUAGAUGUGGCCCUGGGCAAUUUGACCUAGUGGAAGGUGUCCACACACAUGGCAGCAGAGUGGGAACUAGAUGGUCUUUAAAAUUGCAUCCAAUAAAAACAAUUCAAUGAUUCUGUGAUUCUAAAUGCAGAGCAGGGCCAGAAAAGUGCAUUCAACAGUGCUUGCUUAAAUACAAAUUAAUCCUUUUAUUUCCUUGUGUCUCUGUUUCCCCCAUUUUUCCCUACCCAAAUGACCUAAAUCCCUCCUUUUUUUUUUUUCUUACCUUUGAUCCUGCCCCUAAACAUCCUACAGUAAAUCCUGUGCAAUCCCAACUGUCCUUCCCUGCAUCCCAUAAUGUGUCUCAUGCCAAGGCAGCAACUGUCUGAAGUCCAAGUUGUUUCAGAGAACUGCUCCCAGUGUCUCACAGUGGUGAGUUUCACAACUGGAUGCCAGGGCUCUGGAUCUGCUGGCACAACCCUGGGAGGGUCCCAGACAGAAUGCCCCUUCCUGUGAGUCUUUGAGUCCCCCUAUCUGCCUUUGAUGGGUCUUUGAUGGGCUGGUGGCACCUGGGCCAGGGAGUGGUUUGGCAGGACUCCCCCCUCCUUAUUCCCUCUGAGGUUCAUUUGUAGGUCUGCAGACCAGCUUUUGUCAUAUACUGAGUUUAUCUUGUAACUAUACUGAGCUAAAAUUUAGUAAGACAAAAAAAAAAAAAUAGCUGCAUGAGACUAGAAGAGCCAUCCCAUCCUAAAUAUUUGCCUUCUGAGACAAAUUUGAUAUCCGGUCUGCUUUGGUUUUAAGUAUAUAUUAUAGCUCUGGCUAGUCUAUUACAGAUAUAAUUUACAUGUUAGGUCACUUCAUGUCCUAUCUGUCAGAACACACUAUCAUCACUACACAAAAGAUGUUUUCCUGUUUCUUUGAGAGAGUGCAGGAUGACAACAUCUCUUGAAUAAAUUUUGGUGGAUGAUAGAUAAUUUCAUCACCAAAAUUACAUCAAUUAUCAUCCUGUCUGCAUUUGUUAGUUUCGGGGGCGAGUUAGAGAGGAAAUGUGAUGAUGUUAUGUCAGUGGGUGUAAAAGCAGCUUUCAGUUCCUAAGCACUUCAUAAAAGUAAUGCUCUACCAUGCAACUUCACAGGGUCAUUCUUAAGUUCUCCGUUAUGCUUUGUACAACAAAUUUUACCUGCAAAUAAUGUGAAGUAAAAAAAAUAAAAAAAUAAAAAAAAUUCAAUCAUCCACUGUGUGAUUUCAAAAGAAUGUCAGUAGGAUAGAAAAUUUAGAACAUGAAUAGAUUCUUACUUAGUGUGCAUUUGUGUAGCCCCACUGAUUUUUCUACAGGCAGAAUUGACUUCAGCAAGCCUUGUCCCAGGAGGUGACCAAUAUUUCACUAAACUACGUUGGCAUGUCACCUGCCUCCUAUCCCCAAACAUAUAUCAGCAUGGCUUCUGAGCACCAAGCUUAUCUUCCAGGUUUUAUGUACAAUUAUAGUGUGAUAGAAGUCAGUAAAAAUCUCCUUCAUAGUUGGAGAUCUUAAGAGAUUUUCUGGUAAUGUGUUAGAAGUAGUGAUAAGCAAGGCAUGCUGUCAGUACCUGAAAAAAUAUCUUUUCUACUAUGUUUCAGAGUGGCCCAUAGUAGUUCUUGUUUAACAUCACGUCUAGUGGAUUAUCAACUGCUUUAUAGAAGAGUGAACUGUAAGUAACCUUAUAUU